GACGAACCGUGCGAACGUUGUUCGGAAUCACUGGGCUUAAAGGGCGCGUAGGCGGGCCGCAAAGUCAGGGGUGAAAUCCUCCAGCUUAACUGGAGAACUGCCUUUGAUACUGGCGGCCUGGAGUAAGGUAGGGGCAUGCGGAACUGAUGGUGGAGCGGUGAAAUGUGUUGAUAUCAUCAGGAACUCCGGUGGCGAAAGCGGCGUGCUGGACUUUACUGACGCUGAGGCGCGAAAGCCAGGGGAGCAAACGGG
RNAcentral lists this ribosomal RNA (252 nucleotides) under uncultured bacterium. Its description in RNAcentral is "partial 16S ribosomal RNA". It matches the Rfam family "Bacterial small subunit ribosomal RNA", at positions 524 to 776 of the family's 1533-position model. The record is from RNAcentral.